CGAAAGCCUGACGGAGCAAUACCGCGUGCGGGAGGAAGGCCCUUGGGUCGUAAACCGCUUUUCUUAGGGAAGAAACCUGACGGUACCUAAGGAAUCAGCCUCGGCUAACUCCGUGCCAGCAGCCGCGGUAAUACGGAGGAGGCAAGCGUUAUCCGGAAUGAUUGGGCGUAAAGCGUCCGCAGGUGGCAAUGUAAGUCUGCUGUCAAAACCCAGGGCUCAACUCUGGUCAGGCAGUGGAAACUACAUAGCUAGAGUUCGGUAGGGGCAAAGGGAAUUCCCGGUGUAGCGGUGAAAUGCGUAGAGAUCGGGAAGAACAUCGGUGGCGAAAGCGCUUUGCUAGACCGAAACUGACACUCAGGGACGAAAGCUAGGGGAGCG
RNAcentral lists this ribosomal RNA (378 nucleotides) under uncultured cyanobacterium. Its description in RNAcentral is "bacterial SSU rRNA". It matches the Rfam family "Bacterial small subunit ribosomal RNA", at positions 376 to 770 of the family's 1533-position model. The record is from RNAcentral. Lineage: Bacteria; Bacillati; Cyanobacteriota.